RNAcentral lists this ribosomal RNA (497 nucleotides) under uncultured bacterium. RNAcentral describes it as "partial 16S ribosomal RNA". It matches the Rfam family "Bacterial small subunit ribosomal RNA", at positions 28 to 507 of the family's 1533-position model. The record is from RNAcentral.
GAUGAACGCUGGCGGCGUGCCUAAUACAUGCAAGUCGAGCGAACAGACGAGGAGCUUGCUCCUCUGACGUUAGCGGCGGACGGGUGAGUAACACGUGGAUAACCUACCUAUAAGACUGGGAUAACUUCGGGAAACCGGAGCUAAUACCGGAUAAUAUAUUGAACCGCAUGGUUCAAUAGUGAAAGACGGUUUUGCUGUCACUUAUAGAUGGAUCCGCGCCGCAUUAGCUAGUUGUUAAGGUAACGGCUUACCAAGGCGACGAUGCGUAGCCGACCUGAGAGGGUGAUCGGCCACACUGGAACUGAGACACGGUCCAGACUCCUACGGGAGGCAGCAGUAGGGAAUCUUCCGCAAUGGGCGAGAGCCUGACAGAGCAACGCCGCGUGAGUGAUGAAGGUCUUCGGAUCGUAAAACUCUGUUAUUGGGGAAGAACAAAUGUGUAAGUAACUAUGCACGGCUUGACGGUACCUGAUCAGAAAGCCACGGCUAACUACGUG